GAGAGGUGGUCGAGUUGGUUUAAGGCACCAGUCUUGAAAAUUGGCAUAGGCGUGAGUCUAUCGUGGGUUCGAAUCCCACCCUCUCC
RNAcentral lists this transfer RNA (86 nucleotides) under chicken gut metagenome. It matches the Rfam family "tRNA". From Rfam's summary of the family: Transfer RNA (tRNA) molecules are approximately 80 nucleotides in length. Their secondary structure includes four short double-helical elements and three loops (D, anti-codon, and T loops). Further hydrogen bonds mediate the characteristic L-shaped molecular structure. tRNAs have two regions of fundamental functional importance: the anti-codon, which is responsible for specific mRNA codon recognition, and the 3' end, to which the tRNAs corresponding amino acid is attached (by aminoacyl-tRNA synthetases). tRNAs cope with the degeneracy of the genetic code in two manners: having more than one tRNA (with a specific anti-codon) for a particular amino acid; and 'wobble' base-pairing, i.e. permitting non-standard base-pairing at the 3rd anti-codon position. The record is from RNAcentral.